Molecule: long non-coding RNA, 926 nt
Organism: Drosophila arizonae
Lineage: Eukaryota; Metazoa; Arthropoda; Insecta; Diptera; Drosophilidae
Source: RefSeq, a predicted model, not a curated record
UGAUAUAUACAUCAAUUGAAAGUCAAAGGAAAAUUUAAGUGACUAAAAAUAAAUGCAAAUUCGAAGUGGAAAUAUUUGGACAUGAAUGCAAAAAUUCAAGUUAAAGUUUUAAUAAUAGAAUUAUCAAAAAAAAAAAAAGCGUAAUGAAACUAGUGAAUUUAUAACAUCAGAUCUUUGGAUUUUGCGAAUUGGUCGGUAAAUUAGUAAAGAUAAAAGAAAUCAAUAAAAAAAUGGAAAAAUACUAAGCGAAAUAAAAAUAGCUCUACGCCUGAGUCUACUCCAUGCCCCCAACUAUACUAGAAUAUUAUCACGGAUUUACUAAACGUUUAGAAAGAAGCAGUUGUCAAAUUUAAUGUUGUAAUUGAAAAACGUCUGCAAUCAAUUUUUCGAAUCAGAAGUCAAAAUUUUCUGUAAUUGAAUAAAAACCACAGAUCUAUCUCUACACUGAGAGAGUAGUGUGCUUGACUCUCAAAAUGCUGCAGUUGUUGCAAUCUGAGCUCGACCGACCUGUUACGAUAUGCUAAGCUAGAGCUGUGAUGUGCUGCAGCCUGUCGUGCAUCCAAUCGGAUAGAUUUGGCUUCAAUUUGAGGAUCCCUUAACUUACUUUAUCAGCGAUUAGCUAUACCAGCAUCUCGGGUAUUGCUGUAGCCCAGUAUCUUGCACGGUGUGCAAGAGCCUCGGAAGUUACGGCUUGUCAAUCUCAUUGCUCAAUUGUUAUCUCUCGCUGACCGGAGUUGCGGAUAGCUCUAACUAUCCAAGCCUUAUAUACAUAUCUGGCUACGAUCUCCAACACUGUGCUGCACACCCUGGCGAAGCGCAUGGCCAGUCGUUACAUUUACAUCCUUUUCAUAUGCGUGUGCGGCAGAUGUAGCGUUUUGAGAGUUAACCAUCCCAUUCUCUCAAUGUAGAGAUGGUUCUGUGGCAUA